UUCUUGUCUGGCGGGAGGGCCAACAAACAGGUCAGGCAUCAAGACCCGGGAGAGAAGCUGCUGCCCCCCAGGCCCCUGCACCCUCCCAGCAGCCCCCCAGGAGCACAGCCAAGGGGAAGGACACGGUGAGAGUCACCCGGGGCCCAGCCCUCCUGCCUCUCCGGUGGAGAACAAGUGUGCCAGGAAUUUAAUCUGCGGUGACGCCUGGUAAGGGACAAUGUUUUGCUGCUGAAAUCUAGACCACCAUGGCAAAGGUGUUCAAAACGGAGGCCCAAGGGCUUUUAACUGUGGCUUCUCGGAGUCAGGCAGUACAAUCCCGGGAAGGCAGACGUGGGACAGUGAAGCCCAGGGUCACUCUCUCACACGCCCAUCCCCUUGAGGAAUAAAAGCUGUCUUAUCCAUGCCAUGCUGGGUCACGGUUGGGCAAAACCAGCCCCACCGAGCCUUGUCUUCCUGGUGCUCCACAUUCUCGCUUUAGCUUUUGCCGUGCCCACGUGAUGUCACGCGUUUUCUAUUUCAGAGAAAGAAGCCAUUGACAGUUGCUUCCUUCAGAGCCAUUCCACCGUCUCCAAGCCCUGCCCAUCUGCAAUUUAUAAGACCCCUGUGUCAACCACCAACUUCCUCAAGUCCCUGACAUUAGUUGCUAGGUGUGGGUGCCAGUCCAUGAAGAUGAUGUUUGGGGAGCAGAGAGCGGCCUGCUCUCGUCCUAUCAGCGUGUGGACUGGGGAACGUGAGUUCUGGCUCGUAGCACUGGUCUACCCUCCUCCCUCACUUCCACCUCUAGAGAGCAAAGGGUGGUUGUUCUGCAGGUUGAGACGGCCGUGGUGUGGCACCUGUUGCACCUGCCGGCUGGCAGACCCAGCAGGCCAAUGGGCGACUCAUACUCCAUCCUCAACCACAGGGCACGGACUCCAUCAACAUUCGCAGAACUGGACAUCUUCACUGCUUCCCUGAGCACGGUUUGCCAAGGGUCCCGCCUUUCUGCAGGAGGUACUGAAGGAAACCGUUCCCAGGGCUGACAGUUUGAGGGUGAGGGCCGUUUGUGACUGAGGAGGAUGACAUGCUACAGGGCAUCAGGCCUCCCGGGGCUCCUGGGCUGUGGCUGCUGCACAGGUGAAGGUGCCUCCCGCCAAGCCCAUUAGUAGAGGGGGACUCACACACCUGAGCUGGAUGCACAAUGACUUGCCCUUGACCCUGGAGACCAGGAGGCUGGGAAGACCUCUGCCUGGGCUAGCAUCUUGCCUUGGAAGUGUCACUGCUGAUGCGUGGGUGCAGUGACAGGCCUCCGACGGAAGGUCUUUGGCUCCCCAUCGCCGUCCCCUAGGGGUGCUUAAACACCUGCCGCACUGCAUGCAGCUCUGAGCAAUCGGAUGCGUCUCAGCGGUGGACUGUUGUGUGCAGCUGAGGGAGGAGCAUCGCUCCCACCGUCAGGGGCGUCCCCGCACAAUCACGCCUGCACAAAGCCGUGGUUCCUGGGCCAGUGCUGGUCCUCUCCACCUAGGCAGCUCCAGGCGUGGUCCGCAGGUGAGCAGCGGCGCCAUCACCUGGGGCUUGUUAGAGAGGCAGGCACUCAGGCCCCACCCAGCUCCUGGAGUCAGAAUCUGCAUUUCAUGGGACGCCUGACAUCUAUUCCAGAGAGACUGGAGGUUCCUACAGGAGAAGACCAGAAGCUGAGACAGGUGAAGCCGAUGUGCAAGGGCCCGAGUCCUGAGAACUGCAGCAGUCCUUGGGAAACCGCAAAGCUCGAUGGUGGCUGCCGGGCAGGCUUUGGGCUGUCACAACCAGGGUGCAGGGUGGGCUGCUAUUGCCAUCUGGUGGGUGGGAGAGACCUGGGAGACCGCAGGACAGUCCCCACAAUGGAGCCAGAGCCAGGCGCACUUGUUGGCCGUGCUGAGGCCUGGAAACUCCGCCCAGAUGAUGCAGGUUUGGCUGAUGGGAUUCCUGGGGCAGGACUCUUCCUCUUAGAGCCGGCUUUGCUCAGCCUGUGACCUUGUUUGACCUCGGCCCCUCAAAAUCCACCUCUUUGAUGACACAUUCAUCUUUGCCUUCUUUACCCCUGAGCCGGGCCCCCUCCUUCCUCCUCGGCUCCUUCGGUCACUGCGGAUCCAGAUGAGAGGGGCUCUGGCCCAGCAAUGGAGACGACGGCAGAGGAGCCCCUGCGGCCUGAUUUCUGUGUCCCCAGAGCCGGACAGAUGGUGUGGGCACGUGGCAGAUCUUAUUUUGCCUCGGGCCCCCAGGAAGAAUAGCACUGAACCUGGGCUUCCUCUGGCUAUUUCUGGAGGCCUGUGUGUGACCCCGAGGCCCCUCUAGGCCAGUGGGAUGCACCUGCCUUCUUCCUACCCAUCUCCCCAUCUCGGCAUCAGGACCCUCUUCCUUCCCAGAGGUAGAACAUUCUCCAACUCGUAGCACUAAAGAAACCGGGCUGUGUUUCAGAGCCCAAGAGAACAGUGCUCCUAAAAUAGGAUGUUAUGUAAGUGCUGUGUUUUGCCACUGCACAAGAAAUUGUUCUAGAUAAAGUUUAUUAAACGUGGCAUGAGAAGGAGGAAUAGAUUUUCACUCGAGGAGCGGUGGAGCUGGGAUGCUGCCAGUAUCAUUUACGGUGUCUGGGGAAAGCCAAGGGAGACACAGACUGGAGCUGCCUCAUCUCUUUUCCAAAAAGCAAAGAAAACUAAAUAUAGCCAAGUGGAAAUGAUAGCACCUUUGAAGGUACUGGGAGGUUUAAGUUAUUCAACUCUCCCAAGCUGAUUCGAGCCCACACGUUCCCUUUAAUCAUCAUUCUGGAAAGUAUGCCUCCCAUUCUACUUGCAAAACUUUCUUCCCCAUGGAAGUACCUUAGAAGGCUUGAUCAAGGUCUAGGCUGACGUGACAUUUUGCAAUAUCCUGCAAUUUACUGUAGAUUUCAAUAAGUAACUUAUUGCACGCAAUUAGUGCCACUCACCUGCAGGGCAAAGAGAGGAAGAACCUCCAGUUCCUCCCCAGGUUAUUCGGGACAAGCCCAGGUGGGCGGCACCUGUGCCAGAGCUAACUCGCGCUGAGGCUUGGUCAUGGCUGUGCAGAUCAAUGACCGGGAAGGAUAAUAGAAGACAUUUCUCCCGCGUUUACUUAUAUAAGCUCGUCGGUUAAUUGGAUUAGGGAGAAAAAGAGGAAGGCGAUGGAGAGACAGGUCUCUUGGGAGACAGGAAAGGGGCUGGCAUUAGCUUCCCAGCCAGGGACCUGUGCGGGACCCCAGGUUAAGGGGGGCAUAAGUAGGGAACUCGGGGCCAAGUUUACACCUAACUGGCUCGCUCCGUCAUUGCCUGGAUAGGAUCUGAGUUCUGUCACCUGCUUUGUCUCUGACCGCUGCGUGUGACUUUGAACGCGUCAACUUAUCUUUGCAGCCUCAGUUUCCCAAGCCGCAGGAAGCUGACAUCUACUGAGAGCCCGUCACGUGUGCAGCAUGUUAGCCACGUGACAGCGUUUGUAUCCCUCCAUCUCCUCCACCCCGCAGCCACACGGGUGGGCUGACUUCAGACUGUGCUGGGGCUCACUAGUCCACCCCACGUCCCCCGCGGCCACCCCACCCCCAGAUGAACACUGGCACUGUCACCCUGACUGCUGUCUGCGCUCAGCCUCCCACGCCCUGUCAUCUCCUCUCCACACAGUGGCCCUGGGUCACGCAGCAUGUCUGCCUGACACCCUCCCAUGGCUUCAUAGCUCCCUGGAAAGAACAGCAGAGGUCCUUCCUUUAUAGGGUCCACACACACCACCUUCCCACUUGCUGCCUCUGCUCCCAGUUCGGAGCCCUUGCUGCUCAUUGAGGGCAUCAGACAGGUUGUGACCCCAUGGCCUUUGCACGUUCCAUGUCUCCUGGCUGGAAUGCUCCUCUUGCCCUUCUGUGCAGUCUCGGUUAAAUUCGCUCUAUUAGAGAGAUUUGCCCCAGGCUCGCUGGUCUCCUUGACUGUUCUCAACCGGCUUUCGUUUUCUCUGGGACACACACGGCGCUACGAUAUAUGCACUUGCUUGAGUGUUUAUUGUCUGAUUCUCCCUGUGAGACGAGAAAUUUCAUAGGGGUAGACAUGGUUCUGUCGCCAGCACAUAGCAGGGCCCAGACUUGCAAGCACAAAACACCGGUGUGAGGAGGGAACCGCAACCCAGGUGUAGGCAGCCGUGCGAUGAUUUACAGAGGAGGGGGCACACUCUGGUUGCUCAGUAAGUCCUCGAGGGUGCACAGCAUGGAGGUGACAUCGUCACACCGUAUUUCCAGAUGUGUCUGAUUCCAAGAACCAGGCUCUGUAAAGCCCAGUGUGUCUGCCUGUUCUGAACAAUUUCAGUGGAGGUCUCCUUUUGGAGCAGAUGGGAAAAGCUUGCAAUCUCCGCCUUCCUGUUGUAGCUGUCUCCUCUGGUGCCUUCCUCUUGGGUCAGAUGCUUCUGCUGGGGGCGGGGGGGGGCCCUGCAGACGUGUCAGCCCCCAGGGCUGGUGAUAAGGAGGUGCACACAGCGGUAAUGGUUGCUUUGUUAGAGACUGGCAGGAGCAGACGGAGCAGAUCCCGUCUCCAAAGUCAGCUAGCCACGGACGAAGUCUCCCUGCCCUGUUUGGGUCCCUGUUGGCACCCAGGUGUCUACAGAGACCCACCACCUCUUUCCUGCCACUUGUUCUGAAAAACGCCCUGUUACAAGGCAUGGUGGUGGUGGUGGUGGUGGUGGUGGUGGUUGGGAACCUUCUCGGCUUACCAGUCCCCUGAACAAUCUCACUCUCUCUGCUUCACACCUGCCCCCUACGUUACUGCCUCUCACGGGGCAGGCAGAGCAGCUCCGGCUCAGACACACUGUCCAGGCCCUUCCCGCUGACGACUGACUCUUCCAGGAGAGCUGCCUUUCCCACUCCGUGGGAUUAAAGAGAGCGUGCAGGCUUCCAGCUCCCAGCGAAAGUACCGGCGCGACCUCUUGAUUUCGGACUACGUUCCUGAAGCUAGGGAUAUUUGAACACUUCAAAUUGGGGGCAGCCACAACGUCUCUCCUAACAAGGGAGAAAGGAAUGCAGAGGCCUAGCGAACCUUCUCCUAUGUCCCAGUGCCCACGGGAAUCGUGUCAGGAUGCAGGUUCCCAGCCAGGAGGGCUGGGCCAGGCCUGAGACUGCUGCCGCUGGAUCCACCUGUCUGCCUGAGAAGAGGAAUGCCACGCCUCCCCUAAGAAGAGCGGGGUUCUCCCUGAGUGGCUCAUACCCAGGACUUGAACUUGACCAGAAAGCUAUUAGAGCCUGCGUCAUUGCUAAUUGGAAGGAGAUAUGGAGGAGAGAUGAAAACAAGCGGCAGAGGGAGUAAUUGAUGGAGUGAAGAGGGAAUGAAUUGGAGACACCAUCAUCGCGGGACACGUGUUGCCAUGGGGCGGCGUCUUCAGAAUUCUGGUUCUCAGAGUUUUACAGUUUCCUAUUCUUAUACUUUGGGGAAAAAUUGUGAAAGUAAUAUGAAGUUCCAGUUAGUUGAAGUGAAAAAUGAUCUUUCUCCAUUUAAUUAAUUAAAAUAGUUAAUUUCUAAA
Non-coding RNA from Oryctolagus cuniculus (rabbit), 5514 nucleotides. The record is from RefSeq and is a predicted model, not a curated record. NCBI's taxonomy places the organism in Eukaryota, Metazoa, Chordata, Mammalia, Lagomorpha, Leporidae.